This 433-nucleotide ribosomal RNA is filed under the name uncultured bacterium. RNAcentral describes it as "partial 16S ribosomal RNA". It matches the Rfam family "Bacterial small subunit ribosomal RNA", at positions 29 to 507 of the family's 1533-position model. The record is from RNAcentral.
AACGAACGCUGGCGGCAUGCCUAACACAUGCAAGUCGAACGAGACCUUCGGGUCUAGUGGCGCACGGGUGCGUAACGCGUGGGAACCUGCCCUUAGGUUCGGAAUAACUCCCCGAAAGGGGUGCUAAUACCGGAUAAUGUCUUCGGACCAAAGAUUUAUCGCCUUUGGAUGGGCCCGCGUUGGAUUAGCUAGUUGGUAGGGUAAAGGCCUACCAAGGCGACGAUCCAUAGCUGGUCUGAGAGGAUGAUCAGCCACACUGGGACUGAGACACGGCCCAGACUCCUACGGGAGGCAGCGGUGGGGAAUAUUGGACAAUGGGCGAAAGCCUGAUCCAGCAAUGCCGCGUGAGUGAUGAAGGCCUUAGGGUUGUAAAGCUCUCUUACCCGGGAUGAUAAUGACAGUACCGGGAGAAUAAGCGCCGGCUAACUCCGUG